UUUAAUUAUUUUCACCCAAAUAAAAUCGUGAAUUCACUAAGUUUUCUCUUCUUCACUCCCUCUCCAACAAUUCCCGCCGUUCAUUUCUUCUCAGCGCACGAACUCCUCCGACGACCUCUGCGCCGCCGUUCCUCCGACGACCUCCGCGCUGCCAUUCCUCCGCCCGCCGCCGGUAUCUUACAUCCCCUUCUUCUCGGAGGUGAAGCCCUAAAAUCCCUAAAUCCCCAAAUUCUUCCUCACCUAAAAUCCCCAAACACUAUUGUUGCCGCCGACGACCUCCGCCCCGGACAGCCACUGCAUACGCCGGUAAUUACUCUUCGCGCCGCUACGGUACGUCUCGCUGCUGCGGACUAGGGUUUUUGCUUCUACCGAGAAUGCUUUUUUGAAGCAGCCUAAGGUGUUUCUUUGGUGCCUGUUUGUUUAAUACCCAUGCUGUCGGAGUGCGUCGACCUGCCCCAUGAUCUUGCUCUACAGAUAUGGUAUGUAUAAUUUAAGAGUAAAGAGAUGUCGAAAGUCAACAGCUUGUUGCUGGAGAAAGGGUUGUGGGAAUUUUGUAUUAUGUGAUGCAAACUUGCUAGGUGCGUCUC
Molecule: long non-coding RNA, 587 nt
Organism: Salvia miltiorrhiza (redroot sage)
Lineage: Eukaryota; Viridiplantae; Streptophyta; Magnoliopsida; Lamiales; Lamiaceae
Exons: 3
Source: RefSeq, a predicted model, not a curated record